Molecule: ribosomal RNA, 494 nt
Filed under: uncultured bacterium
Lineage: Bacteria
Description: bacterial SSU rRNA
Rfam family: Bacterial small subunit ribosomal RNA
Source: RNAcentral
AGAGUUUGAUUAUGGCUCAGGACGAACGCUGGCGGCGUGCCUAACACAUGCAAGUCGAGCGAGGAGAUUCCUUCGGGAUGAUCCUAGCGGCGGACGGGUGAGUAACACGUGGGCAACCUGCCUCAUAGAGAGGAAUAGCCUUCCGAAAGGGAGAUUAAUACCUCAUAACAUUGCAGUUUCGCAUGGAACAGCAAUUAAAGGAGCAAUCCGCUAUGAGAUGGGCCCGCGGCGCAUUAGCUAGUUGGUGAGGUAACGGCUCACCAAGGCGACGAUGCGUAGCCGACCUGAGAGGGUGAUCGGCCACAUUGGGACUGAGACACGGCCCAGACUCCUACGGGAGGCAGCAGUGGGGAAUAUUGCACAAUGGGGGAAACCCUGAUGCCAGCAACGCCGCGUGAGUGAUGACGGCCUUCGGGUUGUAAAGCUCUGUCUUCAGGGACGAUAAUGACGGUACCUGAGGAGGAAGCCACGGCUAACUACGUGCCAGCCGCGGC